RNAcentral lists this ribosomal RNA (433 nucleotides) under uncultured bacterium. RNAcentral's name for it is "partial 16S ribosomal RNA". It matches the Rfam family "Bacterial small subunit ribosomal RNA", at positions 29 to 507 of the family's 1533-position model. The record is from RNAcentral.
AACGAACGCUGGCGGCAUGCCUAACACAUGCAAGUCGAACGAGACCUUCGGGUCUAGUGGCGCACGGGUGCGUAACGCGUGGGAACCUGCCCUUAGGUUCGGCAUAACUCCCCGAAAGGGGUGCUAAUACCGGAUAAUGUCUUCGGACCAAAGAUUUAUCGCCUUUGGAUGGGCCCGCGUUGGAUUAGCUAGUUGGUAGGGUAAAAGCCUACCAAGGCGACGAUCAAUAGCUGGUCUGAGAGGAUGAUCAGCCACACUGGGACUGAGACACGGCCCAGACUCCUACGGGAGGCAGCAGUGGGGAAUAGUGGACAAUGGGCGAAAGCCUGAUCCAGCAAUGCCGCGUGAGUGAUGAAGGCCUUAGGGUUGUAAAGCUCUUUUACCCGGGAUGAUAAUGACAGUACCGGGAGAAUAAGCUCCGGCUAACUCCGUG